This is a long non-coding RNA of Serinus canaria (Common canary), 667 nucleotides long. RefSeq lists it as uncharacterized. The record is from RefSeq and is a predicted model, not a curated record. Lineage: Eukaryota; Metazoa; Chordata; Aves; Passeriformes; Fringillidae. The transcript has 3 exons.
GCCUGGGCCAGCCUGGGCCAGCAUUCCCAGCGGGAUCAGGGCUGGGAGGUGGCAUCUGGGCACUCCAAACAGCAGCUUCAGCAGGGAGGCUGGAUUGGCACAGCCCUGAGCGUGGGACUGAAUCCAUCCCUAAAUUCCCUUCCAGCCCACAGCAUCCCAGGAUUUUAUUCCAUGAUCUCUUCUGUUCCAGGUUGUUUUUAAUGAGGGAAUCCCUUCCCAGCUCCCUGAAAACUCCUCUUCCCCUCCCCUGUUAAAAUCUGAGGCUGCCCCAAGCGAGACUGGAAGAGACUCAGAGCAGGGAUGUGGAACUGAAUCCAUUCCUAAAUUCCCUUCCCACCCAGAGCAUUCCAGGAUUUUAUUCCGUGUUCUCCCAAGUUGUUUUUAAUGAGAGAAUCACUUCCCAGCUCCCUGACAAUCCUUUUCUCCUCCCCUGUUAAAAUUUGAGGCUGCCCUGAGCGGGCUGGAAUUGUCACAGAGCAGAGACCUGGAACUGAAUCCAUCCCUAAAUUCCCACCCAGAGCAUGUCAGGAUUCCAUCCCAGGUUAUUUUCAAUGAGGGAAUCCCUUCCAGGAUUCCAUCCCAGGUUAUUUUUGUCGAGGGAAUCCCUUCCAGGAUUCCAUCCCAGGUUAUUUCCAAUGAGGGAAUCCCUUCCAGGAUUCCAUCCCAG